UGGGGGAUAUUGCACAAUGGGCGAAAGCCUGAUGCAGCGACGCCGCGUGGGGGAUGAAGGCCUUCGGGUUGUAAACUUCUUUUGCUCUGAACAAGGCAUGCUAAUGGGUGUGUUGAGUGUAGGGGUUGAUUAGCGCCGGCUAACUACGUGCCAGCAGCCGCGGUAAUACGUAGGGCGCGAGCGUUGUCCGGAAUUAUUGGGCGUAAAGGGCUUGUAGGUGGCUGGUUGCGUCUGUCGUGAAAGCUCAUGGCUUAACUGUGGGGUUGCGGUGGGUACGGGCUGGCUUGAGUGCAGUAGGGGAGGCUGGAAUGCCUGGUGUAGCGGUGGAAUGCGCAGAUAUCAGGAGGAAUACCGGUGGCGAAGGCGGGUCUCUGGGCUGUUACUGACACUGAGGAGCGAAAGCAUGGGGAGCGAACAGG
Molecule: ribosomal RNA, 419 nt
Filed under: bacterium
Lineage: Bacteria
Description: partial 16S ribosomal RNA
Rfam family: Bacterial small subunit ribosomal RNA
Source: RNAcentral